RNAcentral lists this non-coding RNA (31 nucleotides) under Rattus norvegicus (Norway rat). Lineage: Eukaryota; Metazoa; Chordata; Mammalia; Rodentia; Muridae. The record is from RNAcentral.
UCUACUUACGAAGAGCCUAUGACCAGAAACU